RNAcentral lists this ribosomal RNA (253 nucleotides) under uncultured bacterium. RNAcentral's name for it is "partial 16S ribosomal RNA". It matches the Rfam family "Bacterial small subunit ribosomal RNA", at positions 524 to 776 of the family's 1533-position model. The record is from RNAcentral.
UACGUAGGGGGCUAGCGUUGUCCGGAAUCAUUGGGCGUAAAGCGCGCGUAGGCGGCCCGGUAAGUCCGCUGUAAAAGUCAGAGGCUCAACCUUUGAAUGUCAGUGGAUACUGUCGGGCUUGAGUACGGAAGAGGCGAGUGGAAUUCCUGGUGUAGCGGUGAAAUGCGCAGAUAUCAGGAGGAACACCAAUUGCGAAGGCAGCUCGCUGGGACGUUACUGACGCUGAGACGCGAAAGCGUGGGGAGCAAACAGG